Molecule: ribosomal RNA, 3147 nt
Filed under: Triticum aestivum (bread wheat)
Lineage: Eukaryota; Viridiplantae; Streptophyta; Magnoliopsida; Poales; Poaceae
Description: partial small subunit ribosomal RNA
Source: RNAcentral
AUGGAUCAUCCAGGAAAUAUAGUAACCCAACUUAUCCAGGAAGAGCAUAGAUCUAAAUGGGUUGCACGUAGCAAUCAUAAUGUGACAUGUUUUACAGAAGCUGAGAUAAGGAGAUUUACCAACAACUAUGAAACUAUGCUUGGUAGAGGUGGUUUUGGAGAAGUUUAUGAAGGAGUCCUUGAGGACAAAAGUAUGGUUGCAGUCAAAAAGUUUAUCUACAAUGUAAAAGAAAAUUUUGCCAAAGAGUUGAUUGUCCACCGUGAAAUCAAUCACAAGAAUGUAGUCAGAUUAGUUGGCUACUGUGUAGAUGAAAAUGCCCUAAUGGUGGUCACGGAAUAUAUUCCUAAAGGAAAUCUGAGUAACAUUCUUCACCAUGAUAAUAUUCCCAUCGCUUUGGAUAUACGGCUAAGAAUUGCCAUUGAAUGUGCUGAAGCAUUGGCCUAUAUGCACUCACAAAUGUAUACCCAGGUCAUUCAUGGUGAUAUCAAGCCUGCUAAUAUACUUCUGGAUGAUGGACUCAGUGCAAAAAUAUCAGACUUUGGAAUAUCAAGGCUAGUCAACACUGAAAAUACUCUAUAUACUCUAAAUGUGAUAGGAAGUAUAGGCUACAUGGACCCUCUGUUUACUCAGAGUGGCCGCCUCACAGCGAAGAGUGAUGUUUAUAGUUUUGGAGUUGUGCUCCUGGAACUGAUAACCAGAAAAAAAGCAAGAACGGAGGACGGGAAGAUUGGCUUGGUAGAAAGUUUUAGUCAAUCUCUUUCAAAAGGGAUUAGGAGGGUGAGGGAGAUGUUUGAUCCUGAAAUUGUGACAUCGAGCGACAUGAAGACUAUUGAAGAGAUUGCUAAGUUGGCAGGUAAAUGCUUGAAGAUGGAACUUACCAAACGUCCUGCGAUGUUAGAAGUUGCAGAACGUCUUCGCAAACUUAAAAAAGCUCCACAUCAGGUACAAGAGAGACUUGCUCUAUUUUCUUGGAUAAGGAAAAAUAAACAAGAUCCAGCUGAAACACCAUCGCUCGAAAGCAGUAGCCGUAGUCAGAACAUGAGAACUGUGGCUCCAGUGAAAAUGACACCAUCACAAGAAAGCAAUGAUAUUAACCCCACAACGGCACUUUUACAGAAAAGCAGUAGCCAAAAUGUUGGAACUUUUAUCAUUAGUUCGACGCUGACAGGCCAAUCAUUUGAGCUGGAGGACCUGCUUCAGGCAUCGGCUGAAGUUCUGGGCAAGGGUACAGUCGGAACAACAUACAAAGCGACGCUUGAUAGUGGAUAUGAGCUGGUGGUCAAGAGGCUGAAGGAUGUGGUCUUGCCGAAGGCAGAGUUUGAGCAGCACGUCACGCAGAUUGGCGCCAUCCAGAACAAGCACGUUGUGCCACUGCGGUGGUAUUACUAUAGCAAGGAUGAGAAGAUGGUAGUGUAUGAUGUCAUCCUCAUGGGUAGCCUAGCAAAAGUGCUCUAUGGUGACCAAGGUUCUAGCCCAGCUCCACUGGACUGGGAGCAGCGGUCGGCCAUCUCACUUGCUGCUGCGCGUGGUGUGGAGUAUAUCCAUUUAGCUGGACCAUCAAGCUGUCAUGGCAACAUCAAGUCUUCCAACAUCCUGCUCACCGGCACCCACGAUGCAUGUGUGUCAGAGCAUGGCCUCAUAGCACUUGGCAUGUCUUCUAGUGUCUCGGGCUACCGCGCGCCUGAGCUCAUCAACAAUAGGCGGGUCUCUCAGAAAGCCGACGUGUACAGCUUCGGCGUCCUACUACUGGAGCUUCUCACCCGCAAGGCUCCAACAAAUAGCAGAAAGGAUCAGGAGGGAGUUGAUUUGCCACGGUGGGUGUGUUCCGUUGUACGCGAGGAGUGGACGGCGGAGGUGUUCGAUGUGGAGCUCAUCGGGCGAGAUCAGAAGGAUGGGGAAGAGGAGUGCAUGGUGCGACUUCUGCAGCUGGCCAUAAACUGUUGCAGUCAAGAUGCCAACUCGCGGCCUACAAUGCCUAAAGUUGUGCAACAGAUCGAAGAGAUCGGAAGAGAAAGUAAACUAGCUCCAGCCAAAACACCAUCUCUGGAAAGCAGUAGCAGUAGCCAAAACGUGAGAAUUGUAGCUCCAGCUGAAAAGACGCCAUCACAAGAAAGGAGUGGCAGUACCCCAAAAACGGGAAUUGUGGCUCCAGCCAAAGCGCUAUCGCAUUUAAGCAUGUCUUCACAAGAAAGCAGUGGCAGUACCCCAAAAACAGGAAUUGUGGCUCCAGCCAAAGCGCUAUCACAUUUAAGUAUACAAAAUGUGGGAACUUCUAUCAUUGGGUCGGCAAUGACAGGCCAAUUGUUCGACCUGAAAGACCUGAUUGGGGCAUCGACUGAAGUUCUGGGCAAGGGUACAGUCGGGACAACAUACAGAGCAACACUUGAUAGUGGAUAUGAGCUGGUGGUCAAGAGGUUGAAAGAUGUGGACUUGGGGGAGGCGAUCUUUGGGCGGCUUGUCAUGCUGUUUGGCACCAUCCAGAACAAACACGUAGCACCACUGCUGUGGUAUUACUGCAGCAAGGAUGAGAAGCUGCUCGUAUAUAAUAUCAUCCCCAUGGGUAGCCUAGCAAAAGCACUCCACGGUGAUCGUUUUUGUGGCCCAGCUCCAUUGGACUGGGAGCAGCGGUCAGCCAUCUCACUUGCUGCUGCGCGCGGUGUGGCGGCUAUCCACUUAGCUGGACCAACGAGCUGCCAUGGCAACAUCAAGUCUUCCAACAUCCUGCUCACCGGUACCCACGACGCAUGUGUGUCGGAGCAUGGCCUGAUAACACUUGGCAUGUAUUCCAAUGCCCCCGGUUACCGUGCACCUGAGGUCACCCGCAAUAGGUGGGUCUCCCAGGAAUCUGACGUGUACAGCUUCGGCAUCCUACUGCUGGAGCUUCUCACCUGCAAGUCUCCACUGGAGAAGAGAUUUCAGGAUGACGGGGGAGUAGAUUUGCCACGGUGGGUGUGUUCCAUUACACCUGAGGAGUGGAGGGCAGAGGUAUUCGACGUGGAGCUCCUAGCACGGGGGCAGAAGGACGGGAAAGAGGAGUGCAUGGUGCGACUUAUGCAGCUCGGGCUAAAAUGUUGCAGUCAAGAUGCUGACUCGAGGCCUACAAUGUCUGAUGUCGCGCAGCGGAUUGAGGAGAUCGGACAGUCCUAA